This 243-nucleotide unclassified non-coding RNA is filed under the name Glomeraceae sp. RNAcentral describes it as "partial contains 5.8S ribosomal RNA and internal transcribed spacer 2". The stretch from base 1 to 71 matches the Rfam family "5.8S ribosomal RNA", at positions 84 to 154 of the family's 154-position model. The record is from RNAcentral. Lineage: Eukaryota; Fungi; Glomeromycota; Glomeromycetes; Glomerales; Glomeraceae.
GUGAAUCAUCAAAUUUUUGAACGCAAAUUGCACUCUCUUGUAUUCCGGAGAGUAUACCUGUUUGAGGGUCAGUUUAAAAAAAAAUCGGUGUUGUUGCUUCCUUUCCUGGUGUCUUACCGGAUUUUGUUCGUCUUGCCUUCGGUUAAGUGACCUAAAUUUUUGCAUGAUUUUUUCGUACGUAUUUAACUAACUUUACGUACGUUUUCUAUAUCGAAUUCUAGUUUUUGUCAUCCUCAUGAUUCG